AAGUCGUAACAAGGUCUCCGUAGGUGAACCUGCGGAGGGAUCAUUACCGAGUGAGGGCCUCCGGGCCCGACCUCCAACCCCAUGUUAACCGACCCUGUUGCCUCGGGGGCGACCCGGACUCGUGCCGGGGCCCCCGAUGGACCUUCAAACACUGCAUCUUUGCGUCCGAGUCAAUAUUUGAAUAAAUCAAAACUUUCAACAACGGAUCUCUUGGUUCUGGCAUCGAUGAAGAACGCAGCGGAAUGCGAUAAGUAAUGUGAAUUGCAGAAUUCAGUGAAUCAUCGAAUCUUUGAACGCACAUUGCGCCCUCCGGUAUUCCGGGGGGCAUGCCUGUUCGAGCGUCAUUUGUACCCUCAAGCUUUGCUUGGUGUUGGGCGUUUGUCUUUCGAGACUCGCCUUAAAAAGAUUGGCAGCCGGCAUACUGGUUUCGGAGCGCAGCACAAAUUGCGGUCUGUUCCUGAAUGUCGACGUCCAUGAAGCCCCCAUUAUCACUUUUGACCUCGGAUCAGGUAGGGAUACCCGCUGAACUUAAGCAUAUCAAUAAGCGGAGGAAAAGAAACCAACAGGGAUUGCCUCAGUAACGGCGAGUGAAGCGGCAUCAGCUCAAAUUUGAAAUCUGGCUCUUUUAGAGUCCGAGUUGUAAUUUGCAGAGGGCGCUUUGGCAUAGGCAGCGAUUCAAGUUCCUUGGAACAGGACGUCACAGAGGGUGAGAAUCCCGUACGUGGUCGCUAGCUCUUGCCGUGUAAAGCCCCUUCGACGAGUCGAGUUGUUUGGGAAUGCAGCUCUAAAUGGGAGGUAAAUUUCUUCUAAAGCUAAAUAUUGGCCAGAGACCGAUAGCGCACAAGUAGAGUGAUCGAAAGAUGAAAAAAACUUUGGAAAGAGAGUUAAACAGCAUGUGAAAUUGUUGAAAGGGAAGCGCUUGCAGCCAGACUUGCCUGUAGUUGCUCAUCCGGGCUCUUGCCCGGUGCACUCUUCUGUAGGCAGGCCAGCAUCAGUUUGGGCGGUUGGAUAAAGGUCUCUGUCAUGUACCUCUCUUCGGGGAGGCCUUAUAGGGGAGGCGACAUACAACCAGCCUAGACUGAGGUCCGCGCAUUCGUGCUAGGAUGCUGGCGUAAUGGCUGUAAGCGGCC
Molecule: ribosomal RNA, 1130 nt
Filed under: uncultured fungus
Lineage: Eukaryota; Fungi
Description: eukaryotic LSU rRNA
Rfam family: Eukaryotic large subunit ribosomal RNA (bases 496-1130)
Source: RNAcentral